CCUACGGGAGGCAGCAGUGAGGAAUAUUGGUCAAUGGACGAGAGUCUGAACCAGCCAAGUAGCGUGAAGGAUGACUGCCCGAUGGGUUGUAAACUUCUUUUAUAUGGGAAUAAAAUGUUCCACGUGUGGGUUUUUGUAUGUACCAUAUGAAUAAGGAUCGGCUAACUCCGUGCCAGCAGCCGCGGUAAUACGGAGGAUCCGAGCGUUAUCCGGAUUUAUUGGGUUUAAAGGGAUCGUAGGUGGAUUGUUAAGUCAGUUGUGAAAGUUUGCGGCUCAACCGUAAAAUUGCAGUUGAAACUGGCAGUCUUGAGUACAGUAGAGGUGGGCGGAAUUCGUGGUGUAGCGGUGAAAUGCUUAGAUAUCACGAAGAACUCCGAUUGCGAAGGCAGCUCACUGGACUGCAACUGACACUGAGGCUCGAAAGUGUGGGUAUCAAACAGGAUUAGAUACCCGGGUAGUC
Molecule: ribosomal RNA, 460 nt
Filed under: uncultured bacterium
Lineage: Bacteria
Description: partial 16S ribosomal RNA
Rfam family: Bacterial small subunit ribosomal RNA
Source: RNAcentral